Molecule: long non-coding RNA, 6261 nt
Filed under: Homo sapiens (human)
Lineage: Eukaryota; Metazoa; Chordata; Mammalia; Primates; Hominidae
Description: non-protein coding lnc-CDC20-2:5
Source: RNAcentral
AGUUGCAGCGGCCUGGCCACCUCAGGAGCACGCUGUCUCUUCCCGACGUGCAGCCCGGGGCCCGGCCCUGUCCCCGGGUGACUGCUCCCCGGCAGGACUGCACAUCUGUGGCGGCAGGCCCAGCUCAGGGCUCGGGGGAGGUUCGGCCUUGCCUUCAAAGAGCUCCCUCUCCUGCAGGGCGAGCGCAGAGCGGCGGGCGAGACCACACUGCGUGUGCUGAGGGCGCACUGGUCUUAGCGGGAGGGAAGCCUCACGAGCCUGUACACUUGGAGGAGCCCUAAGCGUUAGGAUCUGCUGCGAGGGCUGCCUGGAACGGAGGUGAGAGGAUACAAGUGGCCCGGGGCAAGCAUAGUGAAUCACUGGCUAAUCUGGCCUUCGAGGUAGUGAAAGGAAAAAAGGGAAAUGAAGCUGACUGUGGCUGAAUGUAGUAGGUCUUGAAGGCCAAAUGGGGCGAUCUGAUUUUUAUUCUAGAAGCAGAGGAGAAACUAAAGAUUUUUUUAGGAGACUAUAUUCAAGCUUGUAUCAUUAGUUCAUCAGACGUUUAUGGACCACCCACCGUCCGUGCACUCACGGGGCUUGCAGUCUAUCUGGCUGAAUCACUUUGGCAGCCAGUGUGAGGAGGGCACAGAAAGGAGACCAGGUGAGAAAGCCAGCCUGACCAAAGAAGAUGUGGCAACUGAUGGGAUUGGAGGAGGCGGACAAUGUCCUCCAGACAGCUGGACUGGCUCUCUAUAUAUUUAUUUAUCUCUUCUACACCUCCAGCCCCCACCUCCACACUCACUAACUGGACUCAACUAGUGGGGGCAAAGGACAGACUAGAUUUUAGUGAAAUGGAAUUUCUACCUCCAGCGGCCCCUGGAACAGUAGCACACAACGAUCUAACAACUGCUUGUAUGAUUGGAUGGUGUAAGUGCGGACAGAAUUAGGGAAUUUGGGCUACUCUGGGCACACUGCUUAUGGGGCAGCCCUGCUCCGCAAGGAAAAUAAACACAUUUUUUUAAAAAAAGGCCGGGCGCGGUGGCUCACGCCUGUAAUCCCAGCACUUUGGGAGGCCAAGGCAGGCGGAUCACGAGGUCAGGAGAUCGAGACCAUCCUGGCUAACACGGUGAAACCCCAUCUCUACUAAAAAUACAAAAAAUUAGCCGGGCGUGGUGGCGGGCGUCUGUAGUCCCAGCUACUCGGGAGACUGAGACAGAAUGGUGUGAACCCGGGAGGCAGAGCUUGCAGUGAGCCGAGAUCGCACCACUGCACUCCAGCCUGAGCAAUAGAGCAAGACUCUGUCUCAAAAAAAAAAAAAAAAAAAAAAAAAAGGCCGGGUGCGUUGGCUCACGCCUGUAAUCCCAGCACUUUGGGAGGCUGAGGCGGGCAGAUCACCUGAGGUCAGGAGUUUGAGAACAGCCUGGCCAACAUGGUGAAACCCCGUCUCUACUGAAAAUACAAAAAUUAGCCAGGCAUGGUGGCGCAAGCCUGUAAUCCCAGCUACUCGGGAGGCUGAGGCAGAAGAAUUGCUUGAACCUGGGAGGCGGAGGUUGCAGUGAGCCGAGAUCAAGCCACUGCACUCCAGCCUGGAGUGCAGGGCAAGACUCCGUCUCAAAAAAAAAAAAAAAAGGGAAUUCGGAGACCAGCCUGGGCAACACAGUGAAACCCCAUCUCUACUAAAAUACAUUUAAAAAAAAAUUAGCUGGGCAUGGUGGUGUGCGCCUGUUGUCCCAGCUACUUGGGAGGCUGAGGCAGGAGAAUUGCUUGAACCUGGGAGGCAGAGGGUGCAGUAAGCCGAGAUCAUGCCACUGCACUACAGCCUGGGCAACAGAGCAAGACUCGUCUCCAGAAAAAAAAAAAAAAAAAAAAAAGAUGUUCAUAAAUGGUAGGAUAGGCUGGGGAUGGAGGCUCACACCUGUAAUCCUAGCACUUUGUAAGGCUGAGGCAGGCAGAUCACUUGAGCUCACAAGUUCGAGCCUGGGCAACAUCGUGAGACCCCGGCUCUACAAAAAAUACAAAAAAUCAGCUGGGCAUGGUGAUGCAUGCCUAUAGUCCCAGCUACUCUGGAGGCUGAGGUGGGAGGAUGACUUGAGCCCAGGAAGUGGAGGUUGCAGUAAGCCAAGACUGCGCCACUGCACUCCAGUCUGAGUGAUAGAAACCUUGUCUCUAAAUAAAUAAAUAAAUAAAUAAAUAACUCCACAAAUGGUGGGAUAUAGCUAUGUGAAAGUUUAGUCCUAGAGUUUAGGUAAGAGGUCUGAGCCAAAGUACAGAUAUGACCCAGCCUAUUAGUACCCAUCCUUGAAAGGAAAUGGCAGAAUUCACUGUUUAAAAGGCUCCAACACUAAGGUCCUAACUGAUCUGGUCCCUGCCUUGUCCUCUCAUUCUACCUGUGACACUCUCCUGGGCCCCACCCAGUGCUUUAACCAUUCCCCGAGGAUGUCAGCAUCUUUCAUACCCCCCUCAACCCUCAAACCUUGCCCCCUGGCUCAGCACAAGGAACAGUCAGGUCUCCUAGGCAGUAAAUCACUCCCUCCUCUUGCUCCCACAAUUGUAAUUAUAUGCUUAUCUGCAUCGCAAAACUAUAAGCUCCUCUCAGCAUGGGCCAUGUUUUGUCAUCUCUGUAUCUCCAGCAUCUGGCCCGUUAUCUGGUACUCAGUUGGCCCUCUACCUUUGUUGAAUGAAUGUUAGUGUGAAUGGGAUGACGUGGGAAAGGAAGAGAGGCCAAGGGAACCAGAGUCAAGUGGAGAGGACAAUAAGAAUUAGAAAGCCUUUCCAUUUCCCUUGGGAACAGUAUCACUGAGUCCAUAAAUAUUUAUUGAAAGCCUGUGUUCCAGGUAUACUCUAAUGACUUCAGGUUCACACCUGACUCCAAAGCCAUGAGUUUAAAUGUUCCAAUUAGUACCUGUGUGACCUUAUGUAAGUUGCUGAACCUCUAUAAAAUUGGAGCAAUAAGAGUUCCUAUCUCAUAGGAUUGCUGUAAAGACUGAAAGAGAUAACACAUGUAAGGUGUUCAGCACUGUUUCUGUCUCAACAUUUAAUGGACAAGGUGGGAAAGUGCCCAAAGUAUCAGGAAGGUACAUACUUAUAUGUAGAUUCAUGAGCAUUCUUUUAAUAAUCUUUCCUAAACAGUUACUGUGUGCAAACCACUGUUGUGAGAGCACUAUUGAGAGAUUUUGGAUUAAAUGUCCAUCAUAAGAGUGCACUAGAGACAAAGCAGACUAUUAUAGAUGAUGAAACUGUCCCAGAGGCCAAACACAGCAGUGAUAGGAAACUUCAACUGUGUUUUUAUUUACCUGGACCACAUUUGUAAAUGACCAUGGCAGGCCCUCAAUAAAUGCUGACUGACUACAUGAAUGAACAUGCUCAAAGACAGUUGUUCAGCUCUUGUCCCAGGUUCUAUCAUACCCCUCUCCCCCUUCCUGAGUUUCUUUUGUUCAGUUUGGCAAACAGUGAAUGGAUGUUUGCCAAAUAUUUGAGGAUGCUCAAAUAUCUGAUAUAGACCACUUAGCCCCAAAUCCUACCAAAUGGCAUCUUCAUGGCCCUGGGGUUCCUGCAAAACACUCAGUCUGAUGGAAAAGACAGACAUAUAGAUGAGCAAUUAUAUAUGUGGUGAGUGUUCCCAUAGAGAUAAACCCAGAGGGUUAUGAAAGCACUGGGGUGCGGGGGCACCUUAACUCAGUAUGGAGGCUAAUUCUUAAAGGUGAUGCAAAAAUGACACUUAAUUGAGCAUUAAAGGUCACUUUCUAGGCCGCGUAAGGUGGCUCAUGCCUGUAAUCCCAGCACUUUAGGAGGCUGAGGUCGGUGGAUCACCUGAGGUCAGGAGUUCGAGACCAGACUGGCCAACAUGGUGAAACCCUGUCUCUACUAAAAAAUACACAAAAAUUAGCCAGGCCUGGUGGCAGGCGCCUGAAAUUCCAGCUACUCAGGAGGCUGAGGCAGGAGAACCACUUGAAGGCAGGAGGCGGAGGUUGCAGUGAGCUGAGGUUGUACCACUGCACUCCAGCCUGGGCGACAAGAGCGAGACUCCAUCUCAAAAAAAAAAAAAAGAAAGAAAAAAAAGGACACUUUCUAGGAAGCAGGGAAAGGCAUUCUAAGUGGAGCGAAGCAUGUAUGUGAAGGCAUAGAAGCAAGAGAUGUGGCGGGUUUGGGAACGCUAAGUAGUUUGGUAUGACUCCAGUUCAGAGGGCAUAUGGGAGGGCAAGAAAGGUAGGCAUGAGUCAGUUUAUGAAGAGCCUUGUAUGCCACAGCAAGAAGACUGGAUUUUAUUCUGUAUAUGUUUUUCAGCCCUGGCUGCAACUAGAAUCAACUGGGGAGCUUUUAAAAUAUCAGUGCCUGGCUCUCACCUCCAGAUUGAUGCUAGAUGGUUGUUCUUAAUGGGAAGAGGCCAAAGCAUGUUUAUAUGCUGUAUGGAGAGUGACAAUGGGAUCCAGCAUACACAUGAAGAGAGUAGCCUCUGGCUAAGGAGAACGGAAAUAGAGUAAGUUCGUCAGUGGAAUGGGAGGAAAUUGAGGGAGUUUUGUCUAAAGGAGUCUAUUUUUUCCUUCAGUCAGAUGUUAGGUAGUUGCUGAACAUGGGGGAUGGGUAGGUGAUGGGAUAAAGAAUUGUAGGGAAGUGGUUCACUCUGGAGUAACUGAUGAUGGAAUGCUGGGAAAGCUUAGUGAACAGCUAAGUGGAAGGCCCCACUGGGUGGGAGACCAUAAGGAGUGUACCAGUUUAGAAGGCUGUGAUGUUUUCCGCAGAGCUAAGUGAGUGGGAGUCAGGAGAGCAGAAAUAGGACCAUUUGGGAUCUGCAGGGAAGCGAGAUGGAAGGCCUUGCUUGGGAGAGGGUUCAGUGAAGGCUGAGUAGAUGAAACUAAACCAAGGGUACACUGAUAAACUGGAUAAACUGAAGAGGUCAAGGAACUCAUAGGUUUGAUAAGGAUGAAGGCCAGGUGUAGUGGGGAAAGAAAACCCAGUCCAACAACUAAAAUUCCAUCCAUUUCAUGGAGCCUUCCUGACUAAUGGGAAAUGAGGUGGCAACUUCCCCCAGGUCCCACCCUGUCUGACUCACUCCUCACUCACUGCUCUUCAAAGGGCCCGUCUCCAUCCUCUUUCUCAAGAAGAGAAACCAUGGAUGUUGUUUCUAAAAGUUCAGCCUGAAAACCACUGUCUGUAUGAACUCAAUUCCCAUGAUUUUUUGAGGCUUUAUAUGUUUCAGCACAAAUAUUAAAUGGAGGUAGGAUAGAGAAGCAGAAAUGGCAAUGAGGAAAAAAAUGGAAAAAGGUAUGCCUGCAUGUUCAUGAGUGAGUCAGCAGAAGAGUGGAGGGAAAAGACAAUAAGACACGGGGUAUCAGCUAUGAAUAGGAACUGAAGGUCCAGAUUGAAGGGCAACAGAACUGGCAGGUGGAGAUGGAAGCAGCCUCCUGGGGGCUGUGUCAAGCUUCUCCAUUCUCCAUCCUGUAAAGGACAAAGGACACUUCCUACACAGUACCCACACAGAAGAGCUGAUGGGAGGGUUAGCCUGUGAGGACGAGAGAGUGAAGAUGAGGGCAAAGGGUUUGCCAGUUAAUAAUUCUGCAUGUUUCUUGGGCCCCAGCCAGCUAGCUGGUAUCCUCUUCCAAAGCAGGCUGGGACCUUGGCUGAAGGAACCAGGGCUGGAAAGACAUCGGGCUGGCAGAGGGGAGAGACUGCAUGCAAACAUUCUUUGUAUCUUCUGCAAUUUGAGAGUUGGCCUGGAACCCUGAAAGUCAGGGCCAAUGUCUGAUCCAUCAGUGGGUAACCAGUGCCUACAUACUAUGGGUAUCAUUCACUGUUCAUUGAACUGAACAAAAGAAACUUAGGAACGGGGAAAGGGAUGUGAUAGAACCUGCAGGAAAAGCUCCGGAGAGAAAGGAGAGGCUUUUUGUUAGGGGGCAAACCAGGGGAUGCUAUCAAGAUGGAGGAAAGGGAGUUAGCAAGAUCCAGAAGACACGUGAGAAGGACCAAGAGGGGAAUGAGAAGCUUAUAAUUCUAUUAGUACUUUUUCUGGCAAGGAUGAAGCCAGCUGCAUUCCCUAUGUUCGAAUGUUUCCAUCCUGUCAGGUAAGUUCUAUGAUCACCUCUUAAUAGAUAAAAAAAAAACUGGAAUCAGAGGUUGAAGGCUUUGCUCAAGGUCACAGACCGGGUAAGGUGAAAGCAACACAGGUGUUUCAGGCUGAGGAAAAAGCACAGACAAAGGAAUGGAUAUAGGAAAACACAGGACAGGUAGAGAAUUGCAAGGGAUUCUGUUUGGCUAAAGCAACAGUCCCCAACCUUUUUGGCACCA